This 469-nucleotide ribosomal RNA is filed under the name uncultured organism. Its description in RNAcentral is "partial 16S ribosomal RNA". It matches the Rfam family "Bacterial small subunit ribosomal RNA", at positions 335 to 796 of the family's 1533-position model. The record is from RNAcentral.
ACUCCUACGGGAGGCAGCAGUAGGGAAUCUUCGGCAAUGGGGGCAACCCUGACCGAGCAACGCCGCGUGAGUGAAGAAGGUUUUCGGAUCGUAAAGCUCUGUUGUAAGUCAAGAACGAGUGUGAGAGUGGAAAGUUCACACUGUGACGGUAGCUUACCAGAAAGGGACGGCUAACUACGUGCCAGCAGCCGCGGUAAUACGUAGGUCCCGAGCGUUGUCCGGAUUUAUUGGGCGUAAAGCGAGCGCAGGCGGUUUGAUAAGUCUGAAGUUAAAGGCUGUGGCUCAACCAUAGUUCGCUUUGGAAACUGUCAAACUUGAGUGCAGAAGGGGAGAGUGGAAUUCCAUGUGUAGCGGUGAAAUGCGUAGAUAUAUGGAGGAACACCGGUGGCGAAAGCGGCUCUCUGGUCUGUAACUGACGCUGAGGCUCGAAAGCGUGGGGAGCGAACAGGAUUAGAUACCCUGGUAGUCC